RNAcentral lists this ribosomal RNA (253 nucleotides) under uncultured bacterium. RNAcentral describes it as "partial 16S ribosomal RNA". It matches the Rfam family "Bacterial small subunit ribosomal RNA", at positions 524 to 776 of the family's 1533-position model. The record is from RNAcentral.
UACGGAGGGUGCAAGCGUUAAUCGGAAUUACUGGGCGUAAAGCGUGCGCAGGCGGUUUGUUAAGUCUGCUGUGAAAUCCCCGAGCUCAACUUGGGAAUUGCAGUGGAUACUGGCAGGCUGGAGUAUGGUAGAGGAAGGUGGAAUUCCCGGUGUAGCAGUGAAAUUCGUAGAUAUUCGCAAGAACACCAGUGGCGAAGGCGGCUCACUGGCCCGAUACUGACGCUGAGGCACGAAAGCGUGGGGAGCAAACAGG